UACGGGGGGGGCAAGCGUUGUUCGGAAUUACUGGGCGUAAAGGGCUCGUAGGCGGCCAACUAAGUCGGAUGUGAAAUCCCCAGGCUCAACCUGGGAACUGCAUCCGAUACUGGAUGGCUUGAAUCCGGGAGAGGGAUGCAGAAUUCCAGGUGUAGCGGUGAAAUGCGUAGAUAUCUGGAGGAAUACCGGUGGCGAAGGCGGCAUCCUGGACCGGCAUUGACGCUGAGUGAGCGAAAGCUAGGGGAGCAAACGGG
RNAcentral lists this ribosomal RNA (254 nucleotides) under uncultured bacterium. RNAcentral's name for it is "partial 16S ribosomal RNA". It matches the Rfam family "Bacterial small subunit ribosomal RNA", at positions 524 to 776 of the family's 1533-position model. The record is from RNAcentral.